This 478-nucleotide ribosomal RNA is filed under the name uncultured bacterium. RNAcentral describes it as "partial 16S ribosomal RNA". It matches the Rfam family "Bacterial small subunit ribosomal RNA", at positions 28 to 523 of the family's 1533-position model. The record is from RNAcentral.
GACGAACGCUGGCGGCGUGCUUAACACAUGCAAGUCGAGCGGUAAGGCCUUUCGGGGUACACGAGCGGCGAACGGGUGAGUAACACGUGGGUGAUCUGCCCUGCACUCUGGGAUAAGCCUGGGAAACUGGGUCUAAUACUGGAUAUGACCUCAGCAUGCAUGCGCUGGGGUGGAAAGCUUUUGUGGUGCAGGAUGGGCCCGCGGCCUAUCAGCUUGUUGGUGGGGUAAUGGCCUACCAAGGCGACGACGGGUAGCCGACCUGAGAGGGUGACCGGCCACACUGGGACGGAGACACGGCCCAGACUCCUACGGGAGGCAGCAGUGGGGAAUAUUGCACAAUGGGCGGAAGCCUGAUGCAGCGACGCCGCGUGAGGGAUGAAGGCCUUCGGGUUGUAAACCUCUUUCAGCAGGGACGAAGCGUGAGUGACGGUACCUGCAGAAGAAGCACCGGCUAACUACGUGCCAGCCGCCGCAGUAA